CGAAUGCCUAUUGCAAAUGGAAUGGAAAUGAAAUAAAAUCCCAUAAAUUGGUAACAGUGUGCAAGCAAAGAAACCCGUGAAUCACCACUUCAUUCAAUCACCAUUUUUCAUCAUUUCAAAAAGCAAGACCUCGUAAACCGCAUUCUAAAAGAAAAAGACGUGCUCUGCAUUCCAUCAUGAAACAUGAAAGCAUUCUCCAAGCAAAGAUAAAUAUACGUGUGCACCUAAAAAAACGAAUCAGCAUUUUUUUACUAUAAGAAAAACAAAAAUCUAAUUCUACUUCUACACUUCUACAAGAACGGAAAACGUUGAAUGCCGAGAGUGGUGGUGGCAGCUGCACCCCUUCAAAAAUCUCCAAUCCUCCUAGAAGCUACAUUCUGGCUAUAUUGCCUAUUCUCCAAAAGAAAGGAAAGAUGUCCUGUGCAUGUGACGGAUGGUGGGAAUAUCCCCCUAGGGUUGCGUGCCUUUUUCUGAUGUGGACCAUGGAGAUGCUGGAGCAUGGCCGUGAAAAGCUGCUGGGCUUGCAGGAUGUACCUCCCGUAAUCAGCUGCUGUUGCUUUCUGAGGGCCGUGUUGCUGGGACGCUGCUGCCAAGGUGCUUGUUGUUUCCACCUCCAAAUGCUUCACGUGCUGGAUUGCUGAUUCCUCCAAGCCUCAUUCAAAGCUGGACGUUCCUUCAAUGGGCUUCUUUGUUGGACGCUGCAGCCAGACUGCACGUGGACGUGUGCUUGGGUGUUGCAGCUGGACGUGCGUGGUGUGUUGUUGUUGUGGGCCGUGAGCUGCAACAGGACUUGCUGGAUGGUGUGUUAUUUUAUUUGGGUUGCUGCUUCCUUAGUUUUUGAUGCAGAUCGUGUCUUCCUUCUCGGUGGCAGCUGAUGCAUACUGGACCGUGUAGAAGGCUGUGUGCGUGUCUCCAAGCUACAGGACGUUGUGGAGGCAGUUGGACCGAAGCUGUUGUAUGCACCGCCCAAUUGCUGGACGUAAAUGGAUGUUGGUGGAUACUACAAUAAUAUUCACGGGGCCCGCUGGAUAUGCAGCUGCUUCUGAUGCUGGACUCACCAAAUCUGCUACCGGCCUGGAUGUUUUUUUAUUACGGCCCAAUAAGAUUAGCGCGCUGCAGCUCUUUGUUUCUUGAGUCUGUGUGCUUCUUCCUAACGUGGCAGCUGCUGGUUUUGAUUAAAUUAGUUGCCCUCCAUGUGAUAUGAAAUAAGUGUGCACUUCAAAGCCCAAGUGAUUUCGCUUGCUACAACGUGUUCAAGUGAGUGUUGGCAGCACACACGUCUUAACAUCAAUGUUGGACACAUCCAAUUCUCUUGCACCAAUUGAAUUCAGCAUUCCUUUCUUUAAUUGCCAAUAAAAAAAAUAAAAGCCUGUGUCCGUGAAGUGUUGUAGCCCGUGUAAAGAAAAGAAGAAAUGGAAUGGCCCAAAACCGUGACAACAGCUGUUUUAUUUUUUUCUCCAAGCUCAAAUAUUAAGUGCCAAUCUCCUAAAGGAAAACUAAUUUUCAAGCAAACCUUCAUUUAAUCUCUAAAUGUCC
Molecule: long non-coding RNA, 1536 nt
Filed under: Vigna radiata
Lineage: Eukaryota; Viridiplantae; Streptophyta; Magnoliopsida; Fabales; Fabaceae
Description: long non-coding RNA (VRAD_LNC002121)
Source: RNAcentral